CAGUAGCCGCGGUAACACCAGCACCUCGAGUGGUCAGGAGGUUUAUUGGGCCUAAAGCAUCCGUAGCCGGUUGCAUAAGUUUUCGGUUAAAUCUAUGCGCUUAACGUAUAGGCCGCCGAAAAUACUGUGCAGCUAGGGAGUGGGAGAGGUACACGGUACUCGAUAGGAAGGGGUAAAAUCCUUUGAUCUAUUGAUGACCACCUGUGGCGAAGGCGGUGUACCAGAACACGUUCGACGGUGAGGGAUGAAAGCUGGGGGAGCAAACCGGAUUAGAUACCCCCGUAGUCCCUGUCUCUUAUAC
RNAcentral lists this ribosomal RNA (301 nucleotides) under uncultured bacterium. RNAcentral describes it as "partial 16S ribosomal RNA". It matches the Rfam family "Archaeal small subunit ribosomal RNA", at positions 459 to 760 of the family's 1478-position model. The record is from RNAcentral.